This 246-nucleotide ribosomal RNA is filed under the name uncultured bacterium. Its description in RNAcentral is "partial 16S ribosomal RNA". It matches the Rfam family "Bacterial small subunit ribosomal RNA", at positions 86 to 334 of the family's 1533-position model. The record is from RNAcentral.
GACUGGCGACCGGCGCACGGGUGAGUAACACGUAUCCAACCUGCCUCAUACUCGGGGAUAGCCUUUCGAAAGAAAGAUUAAUAUCCGAUAGCAUAUAUUUCCCGCAUGGGUUUUAUAUUAAAGAAAUUCGGUAUGAGAUGGGGAUGCGUUCCAUUAGUUUGUUGGGGGGUAACGGCCUACCAAGGCGACGAUCAGUAGCCGGCCUGAGAGGGUGACCGGCCACAUUGGGACUGAGACACGGCCCAA